CGCAGCUAACGCGAUAAGUAGACCGCCUGGGGAGUACGGCCGCAAGGUUAAAACUCAAAUGAAUUGACGGGGGCCCGCACAAGCGGUGGAGCAUGUGGUUUAAUUCGAUGCAACGCAAAGAACCUUACCAGGUCUUGACAUCCUCGGAACUUGGCAGAGAUGCCUUGGUGCCUUCGGGAGCCGAGUGACAGGUGCUGCAUGGCCGUCGUCAGCUCGUGUCGUGAGAUGUUGGGUUAAGUCCCGUAACGAGCGCAACCCUUGUCCUUAGUUGCCAGCACGUCAUGGUGGGAACUCUAGGGAGACUGCCGGUGACAAACCGGAGGAAGGUGGGGACGACGUCAGGUCAUCAUGGCCCUUACGACCUGGGCUACGCACGUGCUACAAUGGCUGGUACAGAGGGUUGCGAAGUCGCGAGGCGAAGCUAAUCCCUUAAAGCCAGUCGUAGUCCGGAUCGGAGUCUGCAACUCGACUCCGUGAAGUCGGAAUCGCUAGUAAUCGCGGAUCAGAAUGCCGCGGUGAGUACGUUCCCGGGCCUUGUACACACCGCCCGUCACACCAUGGGAGUGGAUUGCACCAGAAGUGGCUAGUCUAACUACGGAGG
RNAcentral lists this ribosomal RNA (601 nucleotides) under uncultured bacterium. RNAcentral describes it as "bacterial SSU rRNA". It matches the Rfam family "Bacterial small subunit ribosomal RNA", at positions 847 to 1447 of the family's 1533-position model. The record is from RNAcentral.